This is a long non-coding RNA of Gopherus flavomarginatus (Mexican gopher tortoise), 628 nucleotides long. RefSeq lists it as uncharacterized. Lineage: Eukaryota; Metazoa; Chordata; Testudines; Testudinidae. The record is from RefSeq and is a predicted model, not a curated record. The transcript has 2 exons.
CUGUACUCUUGUGAAAUUAACUGCAUAAAGAUCUUUAUUUGUGGUUGCUCACUGAGGUUGUAUCUACAGGAAGAUAAAAACGACACCAGCUGCCACCCUGACAAACUAGUGACAAUAAAUACCUGAGAUAUAGGCCUUUUUCCUCACUAUACACACGUUUUGUCAGCCACUGCCCAAAAGCUACUAUACUAUUUAGGUCUGAAGCAAUGUACUUCAUUCACUGUUUCCUUUCUCUCUUUCUACAGAAGAGUUUAAUUUGUUGUCAGGAGGGGAGCUGAAAAAGUUUUGGAUACAAUAGGCUGCUGGUGUAAAAAAAGGAGCAGGUGGGGGCUCAAGGAAUUUUCAAGGGCUAAAUUAGCUGCAAGCAGACUCCCCAGUCAUUUUCAGAACAACAGAAAUUUUCUACCUAUCCAACCUGGCAUCUAUAGUGAGCCUCUCCCCAUGGUUAGUAACGGAAAACUAUAUGAGUGAAUGACAAUGACCACUUAAAUUACAAACUCUGUUAUAAUUGUUCUUGAAUUAAUAUUUCUAACAACUUUUUUCUUCCAUUGGAGGGAUUUAUAGAUUAAUUCUUCCUACCUGUGUAAAGACAUAUAUUUUUAAAAAUAAUAAAGCUGUGCAAAAAUUA